UUUCCGUAGGUGAACCUGCGGAAGGAUCAUUACCGUACACAAUGUGAGGGGCAUGCGAGGGCUGUCUCUGACCCUGAUGUCGUGCACGCUGGAGUGUGUCCUCUUGCAUAAUAAUCCAUCUCACCCUUUGUGCAUCACCGCGUGGGCACCCUUCGGGAUCAUUACGGAGGGGGGCUCGCGUUUACACACAAACCCCCCUUUUAAAAGUAUAGAAUGACAACAUAUAUGCAAUAAAUACAACUUUCAACAACGGAUCUCUUGGCUCUA
This 267-nucleotide unclassified non-coding RNA is filed under the name plant metagenome. Its description in RNAcentral is "partial contains small subunit ribosomal RNA, internal transcribed spacer 1, and 5.8S ribosomal RNA". The record is from RNAcentral.